AGAGACAGCAGCCGCCGCGGUAAUACGGAGGGGGCUAGCGUUGUUCGGAAUUACUGGGCGUAAAGCGCACGUAGGCGGCUUGGUAAGUUAGAGGUGAAAGCCCAGGGCUCAACCCUGGAAUUGCCUUUAAGACUGCCGAGCUAGUAGGUGAGAGAGGUAAGUGGAAUUCCGAGUGUAGAGGUGAAAUUCGUAGAUAUUCGGAAGAACACCAGUGGCGAAGGCGGCUUACUGGCUCAUUCUAGACGCUGAGGUGCGAAAGCGUGGGGAGCAAACAGGAUUAGAUACCCCUGUAGUCCCUGUCUCUUAUAC
This 309-nucleotide ribosomal RNA is filed under the name uncultured bacterium. RNAcentral's name for it is "partial 16S ribosomal RNA". It matches the Rfam family "Bacterial small subunit ribosomal RNA", at positions 504 to 807 of the family's 1533-position model. The record is from RNAcentral.